Long non-coding RNA from Tripterygium wilfordii, 1111 nucleotides. RefSeq lists it as uncharacterized. The transcript has 6 exons. The record is from RefSeq and is a predicted model, not a curated record. Lineage: Eukaryota; Viridiplantae; Streptophyta; Magnoliopsida; Celastrales; Celastraceae.
CAAUCUGAAGUCAAAAUAGCCGUUGUGGUAUGCAUAGUAGCAUAUAAAAAAUUCGCAUAUUUCUAUGUGUUUGUGUGCACAAGCAAACAAAAUAAUGGAUAUGGUCCUAACUCCUAUGUAUGUAUGCCUCACGUUCUCGACCACAACUGGACCCAAGUGGUAUGGAAGCAUAAUAUGGAGCCAAUUAUAGGAAACGGUGAAAAUACAUUAUUAAAGGUCAAAUUUUGCUGGAACUUGUAGAGAUGUAUUUUUGGAAGAGCCGAGGAGGUGACUAAUAUUUCAAGUAAAAGAGGUGCUCUGGGAUUUGGGCACUAAAAUCUCAAUCACUGAUCAGUGAAGGUAGGUGCACUGUCAUACCAGGGGAAGGGGAUUCGAACGUUGCUCCAAAUACAAGUGAUCAAGGGUUCCUUUUAAAGUUCAAAAACCAAUUUGCUUCUCCAUAGCUGUUGUGGAAGCUCAUGCCGUGUGCAGCAUGGUGCUCCAUAUGUCCUAGAGAUUUCAACUCUGAGAUUUUCAUCAAAAGAAGCUGCAGUGAGAAUCACUUGAGGAAAACUAGUCACUUGCAGAAUGCGUCCAACGAGAUGGAUACCUUGCUCAUAUGAAUUCACAGUAACACCAUGUAAGGCCUCAGACCACCAGUUAUACGCGGGGAUGCCGAGUCGGUCAAUUGCAGGGGCCGAGGCACUGAGUUGGGCUAUCUUUUCAUCUAAAGUGAGGCAUGUGGAGGAGCAUCUGAUUCAACAGCAAUGAAGAGUGUAGAAAUGUGUAGGAGUUGAAAAAGACAGAGCAGCAUUAGCAAUCUCAUUUUGCAGACUGUGUUAAAUGCAGAAAUAAGCACAAUUUAAAGAAAGAAGUGACAGGUUGGAAGACUUGAAGCUGGAAUUUUCUGGCCUGCACAAUGCGCAGAGUGCCUCAACAAAUAGAAUUCCUACUUUCCUAGAAUAAAGAUGAAUAAAUGGUGAGAAAAACAUGGAAACAUGUUUAUAUACUGAGAGAUGUUGCAGCGAUUGUUUUGUUGUAGUGAAGCCGGGGAAACCAUUUCUCUUGUCCUGUGGCAUGACUGUAGAAUACUAGAAAAUCCAAUAUUCAGUUGUUUUAGUUCUUUCUCAGU